This is a long non-coding RNA of Cyprinodon tularosa, 736 nucleotides long. RefSeq lists it as uncharacterized. NCBI's taxonomy places the organism in Eukaryota, Metazoa, Chordata, Actinopteri, Cyprinodontiformes, Cyprinodontidae. The transcript has 4 exons. The record is from RefSeq and is a predicted model, not a curated record.
CUCUGUGCACGUUAGCAAAUGCUACUUCCGGUUAUGAAAGCUAAGUUGAUGAGACAACUUCCGCCUGCUUGACGCGCUGCCAGAGCAGACGGCUGAAAAAUGGAUGGUGCAAGCAGUGAGCUGAAUUUCUCCCGAUGUUUAGGUCAUCUGCCAAACAUGUCUAUCGAUGAUGUUCACAGACUCGUGGACAUGUUUUCUCCUGCUCCCCAGAGCAAGCGCGAGAAAGGAUUUAAAUUCUACAUUUCACAAUAUCUCUACAACUUAGAAGGUGGUUCUGAAAGACUCAACGUCUGUGGAACUACUACACUUCAGCUGCUCCUGUAAGGCUGGAAAAGCCUUAUGCAACCACUGUGUUGCUUUGCUUUUUCAGUGUGCCCAUUACUCCCAGCUGAAGCUCCAAGUGGUGCCCCCGAUGAUGAGCUGCACCGAGGGAGAACAACAAUGGCAUAAGCCCAGAGUACUGGGAAUAAAGCCUGGGCCAGUUGAUAAGAUGACUGUGUUAUCUGCCAAACCAAAGAGGAGAAAGACCACUGAGGGAGUCCGGAGCACACUUUACAAAGGUGUUCAUGGGGACCUACCUGAUCUCUCUGUUCUCCGUCUAAGUGAAGCCUACAAGGAUUUCUCUCCGACCGACAUUACAUUAAUAAACAUUUCAAUUGCAAUAUGUGCAUGUUAUCACACAAUAAUAUAAAAUAACACAAUUAAAAACUCGAAUGAACAAUCCUUGUUUGCUGUG